CCCGCCCCAAAUGAGCGGUGCCCCCGGCGGGCCCCGGCCGAGGACCCCGCCGAGCCGCGGAGCCGCGGGCGCCCCGUCGCCCCGGCCGCCCCCCGCCGACCCGCUGCGCCAGGCCAGCCGGCUGCCCAUCCGCGUCCUGAAGAUGCUCAGCGCCCACGGCGGCCACCUCCUGCACCCCGAGUACCUCCAGCCGCUCUCCUCCACGCCCGUCAGCCCCAUCGAGCUGGACGCCAAGAAGAGCCCGCUGGCGCUGCUGGCCCAGACCUGCUCGCAGAUCGGCAAGCCCGACCCGCCGCCCUCCUCCAAGCUGAACGCCGUGGCCUCGGCCGGGCAGCCCGCCCCCGAGAAGGAGCCCACCGCCCGCCCCACCGCCCUGAAGCCGCCGGGCAGCGGGGACGCGCCGCCCGAGGACAAGUCCAGCUUCAAGCCCUACUCGAAGGGCGGCGGGGAGCCACGCAAGGAGGGGGGCACGGACAAGGCCGGCUUUCGGGUGCCCAGCGCCGCUUGCCCGCCGUUCCCCCCGCACGCCGCCGCCUCGCCCGGCAGCUCCCGCGGCGCCUCGCCGCAGCACUCCGAGCCCAAGGGCGCCGAGGAGAAGAAGGAGCCCGAGGCGGGCAAGCCCAGCCCCGAGGGGACGGGUGGGGGGCUCGGGCGCGGGGCAGCGGAGCCCGGGGCGCACGGCGAGCCCCCGUCGGGCCGCAAGUCGGAGCCCCCAGCACUGCCGCCGGCCGGCCAUGUGGCCCCCGUCUCGCCCUACAAGCCAGGUCACUCCGUCUUCCCCCUGCCACCCUCCAGCAUCGGCUACCACGGCUCCAUCGUCGGCGCCUACGCCGGCUACCCGUCCCAGUUCGUGCCCGGGCUGGACCCCACCAAGCCGGGCCUGGUGGGCAGCCAGCUGCCGGGGGCGCUGGGGCUGCCGGGCAAGCCGCCCAGCUCCAGCCCGCUCACCGGGGCCUCGCCGCCCUCCUUCAUGCAGGGAUUAUGCCGGGACCCCUAUUGCCUGAGCUACCACAGCGCCUCGCACCUGGGCUCCAGCAACUGCUCCAGCUGCGUGCACGACCCCGGCAGCCUGAAGAGCGGAUACCCCUUGGUGUACCCCACGCACCCCCUGCACUCAGUGCACACCACGCUCUCCUCCAGCGGCACCCCCAGCCUGCCCGGCCAUCCUCUCUACACCUACGGCUUCAUGCUGCAGAACGACCCCCUUCCCCACAUAUGCAACUGGGUGUCUGCCAGCGGACCCUGCGACAAGAGGUUUGCCACCUCGGAGGAGCUGCUCACCCACCUACGGACCCACACGGCCCUGCCGGGGGCGGAAAAACUCUUGGCGGGUUACCCUACCUCCGGGCUGGGCUCCGCAGCCUCCUGCCACCUCCACCUCCCGCCUGCCGCCCCUGGGAGCCCCAACACGUUACCCGCCUCCCUCUCCUUGCGGAGCCCACACACUUUGGGACUAAACAGGUACCACCCCUACGGCAAGAGCCAUUUGCCCACAGCCGGUGCCCUGCCGGUGCCCUCCUUGCCGGCCGCCGGACCUUACUACUCUCCAUACGCGCUCUACGGCCAAAGACUAACUUCAGCUUCUGCACUGGGAUAUCAGUAACUACGGCGGCCCCUUCCCCUGCUCCAGCCCCCUCCUCGCCCCAGCCCCCUGCUCCCUCCUUGGACUGUGUAUUUAUUUACUGUAUGUUAGCUUAAAGCUGGGAAUAUAAGUGCAUUAAUACACCAAUGAAUCAAUGGUAUGCAAAAAGUCUGUGUCCAAAAAAAAAAAAAAAAGAAAAAAAAAGAAAAAAAAUUCUUUACUUUGCAGGUGUGGGGCUUUUCUUUUUCCUUUCUGUUUCUUUUGAAAAAUUUUUUCCCUCCCCCCUUCUUAAUUUCCCCCUUGAGAAAUUCUUGCAUGACUCUUGACACACAAGGAAAAAAAAAAAAAAAGCAUUUUCCUCCUCCCUCUCCGCGUUUAUCAUUCUGGGAUUCUGUUCCUCUUCAUUUGUAAAGUUAACAGAUGUAAUAUUUUUUAAUUUUUUUUUUUUUUCGGUGCCCGCGGGGGCGGAGGGGCCCAGCCUUGGCCGCACCGCCCCCCGGCCCGCGGCGCGGCUCCCUCCUGCGCGCCCCCCCCUCCCCCGCGGCGGGGCAGCGGGCCGGAGCGCGGCCGGCGGCGGGAGGAGCGGCGCCCCCGGGCAGGAGCGGCGCCCCGAGGGCCGGAGCAGCGGGCGGGCGGCGGACCCCGGCCGGGUGAUGCAGAGGUGUCUGCCCACAGACGUACAAGGCGUUGCAGAGACCAGACCGGAGCACAAAGUCUUCGAGGGCUGCUGCGUGCCCGCCAAGAGGAGGUCAGGUCAGGAUGCAGAGGCAAGGGCCGGAGCAGAAGCGAUGGUGGGUGGAUGAGAAGUUUCUCAGCUGCAUAAAGCAGCUUUUCUUUCCACGUGAGCCCUGGUGGAAGCCCCGGAGAAUACAGGCUCUGUGUUUGUCCUCCCAGCCGGAGUGGCGCGGACGCCUCCCGUGCCCCCACCAGCAUCCCCGAGCCCAGCCUGGCCACUCAGCCCAGAGGUCAGGGCUUUGCUCUGGGGGACGCUUCGUGCCACGCGUGCUGAGCGCAGACCCGGAGGGACAGAGCCAUGCUCGGAGAUGGCCCCUGCAGCCACCGCUGCCGCCGGCAGUGUUCCUGCUGCCUGGGGCUGUGUGCUGGAGCUGGGAAGGGAGCAGCCGGCGGCGGUGAUGCGGAGCGGAUGGGGCAGCCUGGGGGUGCUGGCAUGCAAAGCUGCACCCCUGGUUUGCAGCCAUGAGCACAGCCCUGUGCCGGAGCCUGGCGCUGCCCUGGCCUGUGGUUUGUGUCCAGCCAGUUUGAACAGCACAAAUGAUGAGAGGCCUUGGAGGAGGCAAGCGGAGAAGAGCAAAGACCUUGAGGUGCUCAGCGACCCCCCCAAGCCAGAAGAGCAUGGGCAAGCACCCGGGGAGCUGCGGUGACCAGGAAUGCUGAGGAUGUGAGAACACUUUUGUAUGGCUUUGAAUGACGGCAGAAGAGCCGCUGCUGUCACUUCCCUGGCCAUAAAUUGGUGUGUGGUGUGAAUCCUCCCAGCGGCACCAGUGCCAGCUUGCAGCAGCGAUGCACCAGCGUCUUCCCCACUGUACCAGGACACCCGGUUUUGGCACCGCAUGGGAAAUGCCCAGCAUGACCCAUGGCCGUGGCUCCCUGCUUCUUCCACAAUGUCUCAUCCCGGGUGCCGGGGCUGGCUGACGCGUGCAGCUCAGCGUGGCGAUCCAGCACGGGUGCAGAACGGCUGGAAGGCUGCAAACCUCCCCAGUCCUCGGGCUGAGCCCACAGCAGCGCUGGGCUGCAGCCGUUCCCUGCAGAGUGCAGCCCUGCUCGUGCAGAUUUACGCCGGUGCGCAUGUAAGUGAUACUGUUCAUUACUGUGAUGCAUGGUUAAUAGUUAUCUCUCUGUUUAUUAUCAUGAUGAAUAACUGAAGAGUCGUAAUUCUGUAUACACAAAUGUUUCAGCUAAACGCUCACUGGAGAAUGCUGGGGGAGACGCAGGGCUGACAGCUCAGUUUACAGAGUAUAUUCCUGUAGCUCACUUCACAAUAACAAACAGAUUUCCACAGACCAUAAUGUUUUCUAAUACAGUGUUUAUGGAAACCUCCUGGAGCAGCUUUACCAUGACUUCAUCCCACCUUCCAGCAUGGUGCAUGAGGUGGGCCGGGGGGGAUGUGACCUCUGCAAGGAUGGACCCACCUUUGCAGGAAGAGAUGGUGGAACGCCACUGCCGCACCAGCAGAGCUGACCCUGAUGGACUGAGCAGAGCUGGGUGGCACGCUCAACGCUGUGCAGGGUGCAACGCAACCUCCGCCAGAGCCUCAUGGUCCCAAACACCAGAGGUCGUCCCUCCAAGCACCAAGAGCCAGAGCCCUCCCGGUUCAGCAGAACCUGGAGGCAGCUGAAGGACAAGUGGCAUCCCAGGCAUCUGACAGCUUUGGGGGGCUUUUUAACCACCUGUAAACCCAGCUCGCAGACACCCCACUGGAGCAGAGAACUGAAAUGACCUUUUUUUUGUCCCCCACGUCUGCAAGAGGGCAGCUGCCAGCGGCACACGGGGCCAUGCCAGUGCCAGUGCCUGCCACAGCAGCUCGUGCAUUUCUGCCAGCCACCGGUGCCUCGAUGGGAGAGGGAGAUGCUGCUGCUCCAAGGAACAAGGGACCAGUGGGAGCCUGGGGUACUGGUGCCGCCUCCUCUCCCACUUUCGCCCCUGGCCAGGCUGUCCUGCAGCCCCUGAGCUCCACACAGUGCCAGGAGCCCCUUUCCACCACCAGCACUUGGAGAGCAAUCAGCCCUUUCACCAUCCUGGUUCAUGACCCGCACCCAUGCAAGGAUGGGGCUGCUCGUCGCCCCCUCAGUGGUGAAGCUGGCAGCCAGGCUGGGAUACCUGCUCAGCUGGGUAGAGCUCCUGUAGAAGUGACUAAUUGUUUCUGCUGAAGCAAUGGUUAUCUUCACUGGGUUUCAUUCCAGUUCCCUGUGCAGGCUCGGUGAUGUCUGUGGGGCUGGAGCGGGAUGGUGGCCAGGUCCUCCCUCUGAGGUGGGAAGAGCCACGUUCUGUGGAAAACGUCUCUGACGUGAAGCAAAGCGCGAGCCGGGCUCGUGGGGAGCUGCUGAUUUGUCACGGGCAUGGAGCAACCUGAGGUUUGCAAGAAAAUUGUUGCUCAACCUGCCCAGGGGAAUUUGCCGCCCCAAUUGCUGAGAAAUGGAGCCCCAAAGCCCUUGGUUAUUUCUGGGGCUUCUGAACCUCUCGUAGGGUCUGGUUGAAUGUUGUAUUAGGAACAACUGCUUGGAAAGGGCUUGCUGGAUGCACAGCUCGUCCGCUCCUCCAGCUGCAGGGAUGUGCUCUGCCCUGAUUCCUGCAUUGAUAGUUCCUGAACUUUUCUGACUUGUGUGCACCGGCAUGGCUCCGGUGGGGCAAUCCUGCGGCACGCACCAGCAGACCCCUGUACAAGCUGUGCUCCGCUGCUUGCUGAUGAACCUGCCUGGCUUCUCUAGGGGUGAAAAGCCAGAAGGGAGUCCUGGGGCAGGGCUUGGUGAGGUUUUUCCCCAGGGAACACUGUAAGGGCAGCACCAGGCUGUCGGCAGCUGGUUUCCCAGAGUUCCAGCUCCGGCAGUCAUGUCGCUUGCUUUCAGUGCGUCCUGGUGCAAAGCAGAGCCUGCAGCCCUCCCAGCCGUGGAGGAAACUCAGAGCAUUGGGGGCUGUUUUGCCAUUUUGGGGGUCUGGCUCACAUUGCUUGAGCACUGGGGGUUGUGUACAGCACCCGGCACACAUGCAGAUGAGUUUGCGGGGAGGCCAAGGCAGAGCCAGGGCAGGGCUGGCACCUCCAGGGGCUUUGCAGGGGGUGCUCUGUGCAGGCCAGGGCAUGGGGAGAGCUUGGCACCAAGCUGUGGCACAGCCAGAGGGUGGGCAACGGGCACCAGAGCCCCUCCAGCUCCUGGCCUUUGGUUGCUCCAGGUUGCACCCCACAUUGCAUGCUGAUGUCCCUCCACUUGCACCCCAGCACGGCGCAGCGAUGGGCUUUUGGGGAGAGGGGCCAGUUGUCUCCGCGGUGCAGCAUGGGGUGGAGCGGGGUACCAGGGAUGCUGCCAGCAUCCCACAUCCCGCCGCCGCCCUGGGGUGCUCCUACUCAUUCCUCUCCCCUGUGCCUUUCUCUCCGCUGCUGUGAACGGCCCUUUUAUCUCUUGGGUAGGUACAAAUGGAGCUGUCAGAUGCGAUCAGCCCUGUGAUAUGACAGGUUGCGGGAGCCGGGGCCCCUCAAACAGAGCAGCCUUGUCUGUCAGAGCUGCCUGACACUCCCCAUAAUGGCCAGAUGGAUGAGACUCUGAAAGUAGGGCCCGGCGCGUUUUCAACUCUAUUUUGGGUGAAAACACUUCUUGAAAGAUCUUGAAAGGAGCUGGCAGUUUAGUAGUUCAAAUGAUUAAUGAGCACUGGCUCUGCUGGGUGGAUUUCUCGCGCCGUGCCAGCAGCUGGGCUGCUCCAGCGGGCCAAGACACGCUGCUCUCCCCCCGGCUCCCCCCACGCCCCCCUGGUUUUCCCGGAAAUGACACCAACGCGACAGGCCCCGCAUAUGGAAAAAGUUAAAUAUAAAUUACUGCUGAAAGAGGCCUCGCUGAGCGGAGUUAGUUAAAGAUGUUUAUGGAUUCAGAAACACGGGCCUGCAUAUGUAUUUAGGGAUGACAAAUGUGAUUCAAUAAGUAAGGAAUUUCUCCGUGGGCUGAGGCGGGACCCGCGCGGAGCGGGCGCUGCUCUGGGCUCUCUGGCUUGGCUGCGCCAACGCCAUAAAUCCUGCAGACAGGCUCCUUUUUCCUUCCUGGGCAGCUCAGGGUUUAUUUUCUUUUUUUUUUUUGCUCCGGAUCACACCAAGUCACUGCGUCUCCUGCACUUGGGACGUGACAGUGCUGCUCCAUGCCUGGAUCCUCUGCAUGCAUCCCCCAGGGCGACUUCGGGGGGCUUGGGAAAACGUGAUGGAUGCUCCAUGCAGGUCACUGGGGACUGUGCUCUCCAUGCCGCCACUGGUGCCAGGCACGUCCCCGUCCCCAGGCUCUGCUGUCCGCCCGGAGAGCUGCGCUCAGCAGAGCAGCCGGACCCUUCAGGACUGUCAGCAGAUGAUUAAUGACCAACAACUCCAAAACUGCCCCAGUUGCCAGUUUGGGUGCUGUUUGACCCAGUGCGUAAUGAGUUCAGACAUGCUUCUGCAAGCCACUUCACAUGGGCAGCCGGGCACACUCAUGGAGCCUGGGGGGGCAGGGGCACGCGCAUGUCCCCCACCCAAACUGUCCUCUGCUCCCGCUGCUCUUUAGCAUCUCUCUUGGGGCACAUAACGUCAGGGGCCACAACAAACUCAUGCAAGAAACCCCUAAACUAAACUCCAGCUGCUGUGGCACAGGCCAGGGAGGGAUGCCGGAUCCAUGGCAGGGAUGCUGGGUCCAUGGCAGGGGUGCUGGAUUUGGGGCGACAAACCCCAGCAAACCUGCAGUGAUGGGCAGUGCAGGAGCCGGUCCCUCGGCUCCCCCCCAUCCCGCCACCUCCGUGGGCCUCGCAGGGAAGCGCCUUUCAGGGGGUCAGCGCCCGGCCGGGCUUUUGACAGACAGCCACAUUCCUUUGUCCUGAUUUUAUUCGUUAGCAAUAUUUGGCCUGGACACAGAGACAGCUAAUGAGGGACUGAGUUUAUUGCAGUUUGAUUUUUCUGUUAAAACAAUACAAUAAAAUAAAUGCACUUGGAAAUCUGGUAUGUGUUUGUACAUAGUAGAUUUAUGGCUCUGGAGGCUUCCAGAGAGAUGCAGCCUUUCAUUCCCUUCCUUAUUGGAACAGAUCAUAUUGCAGAGUUUAAAGGGCUCUGGAGUUGUGAUUUAUUUGAAGAGAGAAACUAGGGAAAUCCAACUAUCUGUUCCCUGGCUCAGAUCAUCCAGUAACUCCCCGGCCAAGGGGACGGAUCUGCACCUCCUCCACAGAUAUUUUUAUUUUUUUUUCCCUCCUGUCGCUUACAUUAUCCUGCUCUAAAUAUAUCACCAAGACAGGGCUGACUCCUGACCUGGGCUUCAGCACCUCACCAAGGCUUCCCCAGCCCUUCUUGGAAUCCCACAAAUAAAUCAUACUCCUGGAACCCUUUCUGAGCUCCUCUGUGCCACUCACGGGAUGGGACCUGCGCAGGGCCAGCCACUGCCUUGAUCCAGAGCAGAGAUCAUGGCAGAUAUCUUGUUUUUAUCUCUGGAAUCAGGUGAUAAAUCUAUGCCACCGGCAAGCCCUUUCCCCUCCCUCUCUGCUUUCCCAGCAUUUGCAGGGUCCCUGGGCAGAGGAGAGCCCAGCAGCUUGGAUCCAGGUCAGGAUUUGUGCCUGAAGGCCUUCUUCAUGCAAUUCCUAGCCCAUGGGGCCCUGCCUUGUUUCUGUGGCUCAGCUGGACCUGCUGAUUGUGGGAUGCUGCUGCGGUUCCUGCAUCUGAGUGGGAGCAUGCUCCGGGCCAGGGCUACGGCAGCCGCUUCCCUCCUGCCCUCGCAAAGGAAAAAUGUGUUUUGCCCCUCUCUGAGGUUUCCAGCACCGCAGGGAUGAAGCACUUCAGCACCAUUUGGGGGGACAAUCAGAGCAUGCACUGCGAUGGCUCAACAGUGCUGUUGUGGUGCACCCCACCCCAGCACCAUCCCAGUCAUCCCAGUGGUUCCCACUAGCAGGAAUAAGACGAGACUGUUCCCCGAGCCCAAAACCAGGCUUUUUCUGAAGUUAUUUGUUGUUUGCAGGCAGGAACUCUCCGGGUUUUGGUGCAAAACCUCUCCUGCUUCUCCCUGGUCCUAGGAACCUCUGGGACAUUUGGGAAUGACCAGUUUGGGUCCCGCCAGCAGCAUUCAUCCUUCCUUGUGCU
This is an RNA transcript of Falco peregrinus (peregrine falcon), 8387 nucleotides long. It is a transcript of the gene named zinc finger protein 703, with no coding region annotated. The record is from RefSeq and is a predicted model, not a curated record. Lineage: Eukaryota; Metazoa; Chordata; Aves; Falconiformes; Falconidae. The transcript has 3 exons.